UAUCGUAACAAGGUUUCCGUAGGUGAACCUGCGG
This 34-nucleotide ribosomal RNA is filed under the name Lycium ruthenicum. RNAcentral describes it as "partial 18S ribosomal RNA". Lineage: Eukaryota; Viridiplantae; Streptophyta; Magnoliopsida; Solanales; Solanaceae. The record is from RNAcentral.